This 253-nucleotide ribosomal RNA is filed under the name uncultured bacterium. RNAcentral describes it as "partial 16S ribosomal RNA". It matches the Rfam family "Bacterial small subunit ribosomal RNA", at positions 524 to 776 of the family's 1533-position model. The record is from RNAcentral.
UACGUAGGUGGCAAGCGUUGUCCGGAAUUAUUGGGCGUAAAGCGCGCGCAGGCGGCUUCUUAAGUCUGAUGUGAAAGCCCACGGCUCAACCGUGGAGGGUCAUUGGAAACUGGGAGGCUUGAGUGCAGAAGAGGAGAGCGGAAUUCCACGUGUAGCGGUGAAAUGCGUAGAGAUGUGGAGGAACACCAGUGGCGAAGGCGGCUCUCUGGUCUGUAACUGACGCUGAGGCGCGAAAGCGUGGGUAGCGAACAGG